Heterocephalus glaber (naked mole-rat) is the source of this 963-nucleotide non-coding RNA. Lineage: Eukaryota; Metazoa; Chordata; Mammalia; Rodentia; Bathyergidae. The record is from RefSeq and is a predicted model, not a curated record.
UUAAGCAGAGCCACUCUGUACAGUUGUUUUUGGAUCUCUGGAAAGUUCUUACACAGUGUGAGGAGAAUUAGUUUAACCUGAGCUCAACAAAACUUACAGGUUUACUAAUUGUUCUUCAGGACUCAGAUGUUAGUCUUUGGUCAGGCCAAACCAAAAGUUGUUUAGACGCUAGUUAUCACAUUCUUUCUUUUUCUUCCUUUUGGUGCCUGUUGAAAGAAAGCCCGUCUUUCCAGAAAAUGACCCCUUACCCCUCAGUCCUCCCUUUACAUGGCACAUUAGUUUUACUCUUGAAAGAUGAACUUUAAGCAGAAAUUCCCGGCUGUGACUUUUCUUUGGCUUCCCGUGUUUGACAGGAGGUACAUAGACUGAAAAUGCCAGCUCCCGGACAUGAAGGUGCUCCGCAGGAUUCCCUGUGGGAUCCUCUUUUCUGCUGAAAGACUGCAUGUUCUCUGAUCCAGAGGAUCAAAAAGGAAAAACAAUUUGGCCUCAGAUGAUAUUUACCCCAAGUGGCUGGCCGAGAACAAAGAAGAGGCAGUGGUUAUAAAGCUGGAAGAAACCCCCAAGAUCAUAGAAUACAGUAUAUCCUUUGUAACAGAUGAGGAUCCUGGGCCAGAGAAGUGAAGGCAGACAACAGGGAUAUUGGGAGCCUCCUGAUCUCUGGAAUGUACCAGUCUCCUAUAGCUACAUGCCUGAGACAUAUGUGGGAUCAUCUCAAAACGCAGAGAGGCUGUGAGAGGUUUGACACAGGCAGACAAGAAGGCAAUAUGAUCACGUGGACCAGCACUGGAUGAUGAGGUCACAAGCCAAGGAUUUCUGACAGCCACUGGGAGCUGGAAGAGGCAAGAAAUGAAUUCUCUCCUAGAGCUUCUCAAAUAAAUUCAUCCCUAUGGACACACUGAUUUGGCUCUACUGAUAUUGGUUCAGAUUUGUGUUCUUCAUACUGAAACAUACUUCAUACCGAAA